This is a long non-coding RNA of Gopherus flavomarginatus (Mexican gopher tortoise), 1070 nucleotides long. RefSeq lists it as uncharacterized. Lineage: Eukaryota; Metazoa; Chordata; Testudines; Testudinidae. The record is from RefSeq and is a predicted model, not a curated record. The transcript has 4 exons.
UGCUUUCAGGGAAAAAAAAAAAAAACUGUGGAUGACCUUACUUGUCAUGGAGAAUGUCAAAAGCAGACACAAGACAAAGUAACAUGGACUUGCCAGCUGCUCAAUACGUUGAGGACUCCAAUGACAAGAUGCUGUUAUUUCAAGGGGGGAAAAAUACAGCAAACAAAAAAUAGCCACUUCAAAAAUUCAGUUAGUCGCAAAUCUGAAUCAAGUCAGCAGACCAUCAGACAUGGAGAUGAGAGAAAUGCAGCCAAUUUGAACGUUGAGGGUGUGAAAACUUCAGGAAGUUGCUAGAAGAUCUGAGAUAGAUAUCUACAGAAAGGAAACAAGCAUAACUCACUGCUACCAAGAGGUGAAGGAAGUGAAUCUAUCCUUUGCUGUCAAAGGCUACAAGCAGUUUCAGAAGAAUAAAGCAAGAUACAUAACCAAAGCUUCUGAGAGGUUACAGAAAUAUUCACUUGUUCCAAUCAAGACUAAGGAAACCACCUAUACCUACUAGAUUUUGAACAGUACAGCUGAUUGUAUGGAGAGAAAGAGAAACCAAUCCAGCAAUUCAUCAUGCAGAAGCAGGUCAUAUCUCGAGAUGCAAGGAUGACACAUGGCUGUAGGUUACAGGAAGGAAUUGCUGAUCCAUUCUUUUAAGGAGGUAAGAAAUACAAUACACCAUUCCCAUAAUAGUCAAUGGUUCUGUCAUACUUUCAGGUGGAAGGAAGGUAAUUGAUGAAAUCUUCAUCUCUCUAAAGAGCAUGAGAAGUUGCUGUACUGAAUAAAGCAAUACAAAUGGGAGCUACCUGUUCAGAUGAAAGGAAAGUAGUUGGUAAUUCUAACCAAUGAUGAUGAUCUCUGCUCCUUUUUCCUUCCCAGAGAAGGCCAUUGCUUGUUCCUACAAGGAUGUAACAGGGAAGUUAUUUCAAAGAACAAGUGCAACUAACCAGUGUGAAGAGGAGCAUUGAGCCUGCUCUUACAUUUGCAGAGAGGAGUUGUCCAGCUGAUUCUAUUUGUGCAUAACUGAUCAAUUGCUUAUUUUUCAGAUGUCAAGAAAUGAGUGGAACUGAUCAUUUCUAUCAAGA